Molecule: ribosomal RNA, 468 nt
Filed under: uncultured bacterium
Lineage: Bacteria
Description: partial 16S ribosomal RNA
Rfam family: Bacterial small subunit ribosomal RNA
Source: RNAcentral
GACGAACGCUGGCGGCGUGCUUAACACAUGCAAGUCGAACGGAAAGGCCCUGCUUUUGUGGGGUGCUCGAGUGGCGAACGGGUGAGUAACACGUGAGUAACCUGCCCUUGACUUUGGGAUAACUUCAGGAAACUGUGGCUAAUACCGGAUAGGAGCUCCUGCUGCAUGGUGGGGGUUGGAAAGUUUCGGCGGUUGGGGAUGGACUCGCGGCUUAUCAGCUUGUUGGUGGGGUAGUGGCUUACCAAGGCUUUGACGGGUAGCCGGCCUGAGAGGGUGACCGGCCACCUUGGGACUGAGAUACGGCCCAGACUCCUACGGGAGGCAGCAGUGGGGAAUAUUGCACAAUGGGCGGAAGCCUGAUGCAGCAACGCCGCGUGCGGGAUGACGGCCUUCGGGUUGUAAACCGCUUUCGCCUGUGACGAAGCGUGAGUGACGGUAAUGGGUAAAGAAGCACCGGCUAACUACGUG